RNAcentral lists this ribosomal RNA (300 nucleotides) under Triticum aestivum (bread wheat). RNAcentral describes it as "partial small subunit ribosomal RNA". Lineage: Eukaryota; Viridiplantae; Streptophyta; Magnoliopsida; Poales; Poaceae. The record is from RNAcentral.
AUGAAAGGAGUUCAGAUUACUAUUCCUAUUCUUGAAAUUGUUUUGCAUGUUCUGAUGUAUGCCAAAUAUUUCAAGGAAUUAUUAACAAAGAAAAUAAGCAUGUCUGAGAUAGAAGUUGUAACUCUAUCAAAGGAAUGCAGUGCAAUAAUUCAGAAUUCCAUGCCUGAAAAAUUGGAUGAUCCAGGAAAUUUUUGUGUGCCAUGUGUGAUUGGAAACAAAACUUACAGUGCUCUAUGUGACUUGGGCUCAAGUGUUAGUGUGUUACCACAUUCAGUUAGCAAAAGGAUGUUCUUGGGAUAA